Molecule: ribosomal RNA, 519 nt
Filed under: uncultured eukaryote
Lineage: Eukaryota
Description: partial 18S ribosomal RNA
Rfam family: Eukaryotic small subunit ribosomal RNA
Source: RNAcentral
GGGGCCCCCCCGGGGGGGGCGCCUGCGUUUUUUUUUGACUCAACGCGGAAAAACUCACCCCCCCAGGACACAAAAAGGAUUGACAGAAUGAUAUCUUUUUCUUGAUUUUGGGGGGGGGGGUGCAUGGCCGCUCUUAGUGGUGGAGCGAUUUGUCUGGUUAAUUCCGAUAACGAACGAGACUCUAGCCUAUUAAAUACCCGAUAUAUUAUUCCUUUCUCGCGCUUCUUAGAGGCACGGGCAGCUUCCAGCUGCACCAGAUAGAACAAUAACAGGUCUGUGAUGCCCUUAGAUGUCGGGGGCGGCCCGCGCGCUACAAUGAUAAUAGCAGCGUGCAUUACCUUGUUUUCUGGAAAGAAUUGGCCAAACCAAAUAUUGUCGUGUUUGGGAUGGGGAGAUUGAAUUUAUUGCCCUUCACUAAGAAACUCCAGGCAAUGCGCGACCCAUUAUCUUGUUUGAUCACCUCCCCUGCCCUGUGCACACCCCGCCCGCGCUACUACAGUAGUGGAAGAUAUGAUGUAU